Molecule: ribosomal RNA, 465 nt
Filed under: Vreelandella stevensii
Lineage: Bacteria; Pseudomonadati; Pseudomonadota; Gammaproteobacteria; Oceanospirillales; Halomonadaceae
Description: partial 16S ribosomal RNA
Rfam family: Bacterial small subunit ribosomal RNA
Source: RNAcentral
CCUACGGGGUGCAGCAGUGGGGAAUAUUGGACAAUGGGCGAAAGCCUGAUCCAGCCAUGCCGCGUGUGUGAAGAAGGCCUUCGGGUUGUAAAGCACUUUCAGUGGGGAAGAAAGCCUUGGGGCUAAUACCCUCGAGGAAGGACAUCACCCACAGAAGAAGCACCGGCUAACUCCGUGCCAGCAGCCGCGGUAAUACGGAGGGUGCGAGCGUUAAUCGGAAUUACUGGGCGUAAAGCGCGCGUAGGCGGUCUGAUAAGCCGGUUGUGAAAGCCCCGGGCUCAACCUGGGAACGGCAUCCGGAACUGUCAGGCUAGAGUGCAGGCGAGGAAGGUAGAAUUCCCGGUGUAGCGGUGAAAUGCGUAGAGAUCGGGAGGAAUACCAGUGGCGAAGGCGGCCUUCUGGACUGACACUGACGCUGAGGUGCGAAAGCGUGGGUAGCAAACAGGAUUAGAUACCCGAGUAGUC